CCUACGGGAGGCAGCAGUGGGGAAUUUUGCACAAUGCGCGAAACACUGAUGCAGCGACGCCGCGUGAGUGAUGACGGCCUUCGGGUUGUAAAGUUCUGUCUUCAGGGACGAAAAUGCCGGUACCUGAGGAGGAAGCCACGGCUAACUACGUGCCAGCAGCCGCGGUAUUACGUAGUUGGCGAGAGUUGUCCGGAUUGACUGGGCGUAAAGGGUGCGUAGGCGGUUUUUUAAGUGAGAUGUGAAAUACUUGGGCUCAACUUUAGUACUGCAUUUCAUACUGGAAGUCUAGAGUGCAGGAGAGGAGAAUGGAAUUCCUAGUGUAGCGGUGAAAUGCGUAGAUAUUAGGAAGAACACCAGUGGCGAAGGCGAUUCUCUGGACUGUAACUGACGCUGAGGUGCGAAAGCGUGGGGAGCAAACAGGAUUAGAUACCCCUGUAGUC
RNAcentral lists this ribosomal RNA (440 nucleotides) under uncultured bacterium. RNAcentral's name for it is "partial 16S ribosomal RNA". It matches the Rfam family "Bacterial small subunit ribosomal RNA", at positions 338 to 795 of the family's 1533-position model. The record is from RNAcentral.